RNAcentral lists this unclassified non-coding RNA (200 nucleotides) under Chaetomium sp. Its description in RNAcentral is "partial internal transcribed spacer 2". Lineage: Eukaryota; Fungi; Ascomycota; Sordariomycetes; Sordariales; Chaetomiaceae. The record is from RNAcentral.
UUAAGUUCAGCGGGUCUUCCCACCUGAUCCGAGGUCAACCUUGGGUAAAUAAGGCUUUUAACGGCCGGAACCCGCAGCACGCCCUGAGCGAGGUGUAACUACUACGCUCGGAGUGACUAGCGAGCCCGCCACUGGUUUCAGGGCCUGCGGCAGCCGCAGGUCCCCAACACAAGCCGGGGGCUUGAGGGUUGAGAUGGCGC